CCUCAGAUGCUGGGAGAGGGGAAGGAGGGCGAAGCCACCAGACUUGGCGUCAGGAGAGGAAAAGCUCUUUGGCUUCUGAAAGCAUCGAGAGAGGGCUGCAGCUGCGCUGUCUAGAACUGGGCAAAGCUGGUGAGAAGAUGCGCAACGAGCAGCAAGUCAGAGUGGUGAAUUCAAUUCAAAGGGAGGGACCUGGCCGGCUGUGUGUCAGCUUUAAACACUCAUUAAGACACAAGUUGCUAAAUGUCCAGUCCUUCCUUUGAGUCCUGCUCAGCUCUUGGCUUCAGUGAUGUCCUGUGGCAAUGAGUUCCCCUGACUAAGCAGGUACUGCCUGGGAAAGAAUAUUCUGCUGUGUCACUUUUAAGUAUCCUGCUUUUGAAUGUCA
This is a long non-coding RNA of Gopherus flavomarginatus (Mexican gopher tortoise), 382 nucleotides long. RefSeq lists it as uncharacterized. Lineage: Eukaryota; Metazoa; Chordata; Testudines; Testudinidae. The record is from RefSeq and is a predicted model, not a curated record. The transcript has 3 exons.